RNAcentral lists this ribosomal RNA (460 nucleotides) under uncultured bacterium. Its description in RNAcentral is "SSU rRNA". It matches the Rfam family "Bacterial small subunit ribosomal RNA", at positions 26 to 518 of the family's 1533-position model. The record is from RNAcentral.
AGAAUCAACGCUGGCGGCGUGCCUAACACAUGCAAGUCGAACGAGAAAGGGUAGCAAUACCUGAGUAAAGUGGCGCACGGGUGAGUAACACGUGACUAACCUACCUUUUAGUGGGGGGAUAACCUAGGGAAACCUGGGCUAAUACCGCAUAAUACCUACGGGUCAAAGCAGCAAUGCGCUGAAUGAGGGGGUCGCGGUCGAUUAGUUAGUUGGCAGGGUAAUGGCCUACCAAGACUGUGAUCGAUAUCCGGCCUGAGAGGGCGCACGGACACACUGGAACUGAAACACGGUCCAGACUCCUACGGGAGGCAGCAGUGGGAAUUUUGCGCAAUGGGGGAAACCCUGACGCAGCAACGCCGCGUGGAGGAUGAAGUCCCUUGGGACGUAAACUCCUUUCGAUCGGGACGAUAAUGACGGUACCGGAAGAAGAAGCCCCGGCUAACUUCGCGCCAGCAGCCGC